RNAcentral lists this ribosomal RNA (935 nucleotides) under uncultured archaeon. RNAcentral's name for it is "bacterial SSU rRNA". It matches the Rfam family "Archaeal small subunit ribosomal RNA", at positions 1 to 922 of the family's 1478-position model. The record is from RNAcentral.
UUCCGGUUGAUCCCGCCGGACCCGACUGCUAUUUGGGUGAGAAUAAGCCAUGCGAGUUGAAUGGAAUACCUAAAUUUUCCAUAUCAAACUGCUCAGUAACACAUGAUCAACUUGCCCUAUAGAGAAAAAUAACCUCGGGAAACUGAGGAUAAUGUUUCAUAGUUGAAAAGGCUUGGAAAAGUUUUUCAAUCAAAGGGAUAAAAAAAAUGGUUUUUAUUUGCUGUAGGAUAGGAUCGUGCUCGAUUAUGGUUGUUGGUGAGGUAAUGGCUCACCAAGCCGAUAAUCCAUAGGGGCCGUGAGAGCGGGAGCCCCGAGAUGGGUACUGAGACAGCGACCCAGGUCUUACGAGACGCAGCAGGCGCGAAACCUCCGCAAUACACGAAAGUGUGACGGGGUUACCCAAAGUGUUCAAUUUUGAACUGUGGUAGGUGAGUAAUGUCCCCUACUAGAAAGGAGAGGGCAAGGCUGGUGCCAGCCGCCGCGGUAAAACCAGCUCUUCAAGUGGUCGGGAUAAUUAUUGGGCUUAAAGUGUCCGUAGCCGGUUUAGUAAGUUCCUGGUAAAAUCGGGUAGCUUAACUAUCUGUAUGCUAGGAAUACUGCUAUACUAGAGGGCGGGAGAGGUCUGAGGUACUACAGGGGUAGGGGUGAAAUCUUAUAAUCCUUGUAGGACCACCAGUGGCGAAGGCGUCAGACUGGAACGUGCCUGACGGUGAGGGACGAAAGCCAGGGGAGCGAACCGGAUUAGAUACCCGGGUAGUCCUGGCCGUAAACGAUGCAUACUAGGUGAUGGUAUGGCCAUGAGCCGUGUCAGUGCCGUAGGGAAACCGUUAAGUGUGCCGCCUGGGAAGUACGGUCGCAAGGCUAAAACUUAAAGGAAUUGGCGGGGGAGCACCACAAGGGGUGAAGCCUGCGGUUCAAUUGGAUUCAACGCCGGG